GCUCCCUUGUGAAGCUGUAAGAACAUGGUACUUACAGGAGUAAGGCUCAUGAAGUGGAGAGAUGAGAAGACUUUCGGGACAGAUUGUGUGGAGGCUGUCAUUCUCCUCGUGACAUUGCUGUGGGAGAAGAAGGAGGCAUUCCAUGUUGGCUUCAGUGAAGAACUUCAGUAUUUUCCAGAGAGAAGUACUGAGAAGCUUAAAGUAUUUGAAUGGGAGGAGGAGAAGCAAACUACAGCUACUUCAGAGGAUAACACUAAACACCUAGUCCACUCUGUAUACACUAGAGGUAAGAGAGGUGGUUCAUAGAACUUCA
Molecule: long non-coding RNA, 313 nt
Filed under: Homo sapiens (human)
Lineage: Eukaryota; Metazoa; Chordata; Mammalia; Primates; Hominidae
Description: non-protein coding lnc-ZC3H11B-1:5
Source: RNAcentral